This 204-nucleotide ribosomal RNA is filed under the name Triticum aestivum (bread wheat). RNAcentral's name for it is "partial small subunit ribosomal RNA". Lineage: Eukaryota; Viridiplantae; Streptophyta; Magnoliopsida; Poales; Poaceae. The record is from RNAcentral.
AUGAAGAAGAACAUCGACACGCAGGAAGACCACAAACUGUGGGGGAUCAGCCUGUUGCUAGACAACCUCAUCGAGUGCGCAGGAGUAGAUGCGUACGCCAUGUACAAAUCAUGGAACAUGAUCGACAACAUCACAAAUGGUUGCGAAAUUGCAAAAGCGCGGGAGGCUGACCACUACUACGACCAACCCUUUUGCCCCUUUUAG